GGCCACACCCCCAGCAUGCAGAAGUUCCCAGGCUGGGGAUCAAACCUGCACCAUAGCAGUGACAACAGCAGAUCCUUAACUGCUAAGCCACCAGGGAACUCCUGUCCUUUGCUCCUGCUGGAUGCUCUCCCUAAGGACCUUCCCCAUGCCUCAUCUUUGUCUCUACUACCUACACCACAAACUCACGUUUGAGUCUUUCCUCUUUCUCUUCUGAUUCAAGUUCAAGACAUCUUUAAGCACACAAUAACUAGCUUUUCUACAGCAGACUUUUUCAAAGCUUUUUCUCCCUUACAGAAUCUUUCAAAAUAGGUAAUGCAGGCAUUAUUAUUACUUAAUAUAGUACUAAUGCGGUUCUUCCUAACAACCCAGAAUCAAACUUGAGGUGUGGAAUCUUACUUCCCCAGAGGCUGGCAGGAAUAGCUGAGAAGGGUAAGAUAGCCAUGCCUCUAUGGAAAGCACCUGACAAAUUCACCCUCUCCUUCCUAUCCAGCAAUGGCUGUUAUAAAGCAUAAUGGCCUAUCCUACACAACGGAAAAAGUGACUACAUUUGUUUGGUUUGGUUUGUGACAUCAUGGUCAGCUUGAUAAAUCAUCAUAAGCUUUCCCUUCAUCUCCACCUCAUUUCUUUCCCCCACAGUCACGGUGGAAUUAUAUUCCUCAAAAAAAAAAAAAAGAUAUAAACUUUGCCUCAGGCUUUGUUUUCUAGAGACAUUAAGCUAGAAAAUGUGGGGACCAGGAGACCUUCAGUCUAAGAUUUUGAAUUGGAAUGCUCACUGCUGGGAGACAAUUCUCCAUGGGUUUCUUACAGUCAAAAUGUCCCUACUGGGUCAGAGAUAGAGGACUUUGUCUUCUGCCAGCAUAUGUGCAGCUGUGGCAGGUGAAGUGGUUGGUUUGCAAUUAGAAGCAACCUAAACAUCCAUCAACAGAUGAAUGGAUUGAGAAGAAGUGGUAAACAUAUACAAUGGAAUACUAUUCACCCAUUAAAAAGAACAAAAUAAUGCCAUUUCAUCAUUAAUGCAACUAGAAAUUAUCAUGCUAAAUGAAGUUAGCCAGAAAGAGAAAGACAAAUGAUAUCACCUAUAUGUAGAAUCUAAAAUAUGACACAGAUGAACCUAUCUACAAAACAGAAACAGACUAUUCAAAGACAUGGAGAACAGACUUGUGGUUGCCAAGAGGGGAAAGGGAAUUAGAUGCACUGGGAGUUUGGGAGUUGGUUGAUACAAACUAUUACAUUUAGAAUGGGUAAGCAAUGAGGUCCUACUAUACAGCACAGGGAACUAUAUCCAAUUUCUUGGGAUAGAACAUGAUGGAAGAUAAUGUAAGAAAGGGAAUAUGUGUGCGUGUGUAUAAAUGACUGGGUCACACUGCUCUACAGAAGAAAUUGGUACAAUAUUAUAAAUCAACUCCACUUUAAUUUAAAAAAUAAAAUUUAAAAAAGCAAAGCAACUAGAAUAUAGUCUUACUCUUUACAGCUCUUGAUGCCUUCCUGCUGGUGAUAACUGGGAUGGUAUUAACCCCUGGCAGACAUGAACAUCACAAUUAGUUAAGCGUUCAUCUGCAGUUGAUUGAGAUGAGGUGCCAGUAAAGUGCAAGACAUUGGAAGGUCAAACGGCUGCAUCAAUUGAUUGAGAGGACAAUGAUAACUGUAAUGACGGUAGUGUCAAACAGUUAUUUGGGAAGACAUUUGAAACCUUGCAAAAAGUAAAUUAAAUCAGGGCAGCUAAUUGCCAGCCUAAGGCAUGUUCCAAAAGUGUUAGGACCCUCUAUCAUUUUAAAAGAGACACUCAUCUCCUACGACUGCCAAACAGACGGUGCUAAAAAUCAGGCCUAGGGUAUGAUUUUCACAUGUGUCAGACUGGCUAAUUAAAUGUAUUGCUUAAACAUGCCUCCUGUGUCAGAAUCAGAGCCCUCCUGGGAAAGAGUGGGAGGAGGAAAUCUGGGAUGGGGACAUCUCUGAGGUUAAGCCUGAGAAUCUUGGAGGCUUUAGGCCAAAAGAAGAAUUCCCUCCUUCCCUCCUCCCAUCAACUUACCUCGAGAUGUUGUACUGAUCUUACCUGAGUCAGGUGGGUGGCAAAUAGCAUUUCUCCUCUUUGGGAUCUGUCCCCAUGUACCACUAACCAGUGCUAGGACUUGCUACCAUGUGGGCAGGGCUAUCCAGGGUCUAUUCUAGGAGAUAACAGACUGUACACCAAAGGAACUGUAGGACUUGGGGUAUGUGCAAGAGUGAACCUUGAAGGUGACAGACCACAAGGUGGAGUGAAAGGACAGAUGGGGACAGUGAUUGGCAGGAGGGCACUCACCUGAGACUCAGGAUUCAAUGAGCUGAUAAGGACACCCAAAGCCAGUCCUAACACAAUGCUGGGUGAGUCCCAGAAACAAGGGCACAAUGAUGGCCUACAGAUAAAGGGGUGAAGAUACUAGAAGUUCCUUGGCAUCAUUCUAAAGAAAAGGUCAAAAAGUUCAGAAACAUGGAAUUGUUAGAAUGGAUGGACUAAAAGACCUGAGACUCCCCUUGUGAUUAAAUUCCCUGAGAGCUCAAUGGACACUUCCUUUAAUAAGUCAAGAGGAAAUGCCCUGAGGAGGUGGGUGCAAGAAUCAUCCAGAUGUUUUGUGGAGGCCAUCCUUGUAGGCAGGAGUUGCCAUGCACCUGCUGCCAUGGAACCAAGAUCCCUAAUAUAAAGGGGAUCUGGGAUGGCCUAGGCAGGGAAGCAGCACUGCCCAACCAGAAGCAAGUUGGGCAUAAUUACCAUACACGCAUAGUGGCUGGAGCAGCACUUGUGUGCCUUUGACUGACAGUGAUCUUUGGUGACAGGUAAAAGAUCAUGCUGUUCCAGGGGACAAGAUGGAUUGGCACCUGACUAGGGUGUUGCUUGAUCUGUAUAAUCAAAACUACACACACACACAGUGAUACACACAAGAGCUUUUGAGCAGAAGGCUGAUGGCGACCACAGUGGAAAAGCACAGUCCAUUCAUCCGUUUUCCAGAUUUAAGUCCAUUCACAGACCCAUUGCUCCACAUCCAAAGUAUAUAUUAACCAAGUCCUACAACUUCUUUGCUGCACAGUCUGUUACUUCCCAGAACAGGGCCUGUUUAUCCCUGCCCAACCUGAGGUAUGUCCUGGCAUGGGGUUCACAUUCUGGAGGUCAGGAUGGGGAGGGGGAGGCAGACUGGAGAGUAGGCCAGGUCUCCCUUAGGAAGGAGUCUGCAACACCAGUUCUGCAAGCCUAUGUGGAAAACACACCUCCGAUUCUUCCCCCAGAGGCUGGUGACCAUUUGCCUGGGAAACUAAGCCUUUGAAAAGGGGGGAAAUCCAGAAAUUUCUAAAACUGUUAAUUUCAGGGUCUGAUCUGACGCUAAUACCAAGGAACCUAAAACAGGCCACCAUGCUCCUCUGGUCAGAGUGAGGGCUUACGAAACCAUGUGACAAGGGCAAUUUUAGCCUGAGUCACAAUGGGCCUAAUAAGGCCCUUGACCCACACUGUGGUCACUUCACCCAUAACUAAGUGUGUAAAUGGGAUAGAGAGACUUAGCUGCAAGCAACACCCCACAUCUGCUUCCUGACCUGUGGAGUAAGAGCCAUUAUGGAAAUAAAGGCCAAAAGCAGCCCCUGAAACUGCCUCCUUUCCUGGACAAGAUAACAAACAGUAAGUGUUUCUGCACUCCUGAAGGAACUGAAGAGACUAGUGCCACAACCAAAGACUCGAAAAAGGCAGGAAUAGUGAUCCACAUCCUAUCUGCCAAGGCACUGGACUGGCCUCUAGAAUCCAGGUGCAUAGUGUUAGGGGCCAAUAGCACAUAGGGAAACUAACCAAGCCUUAGCCUCAGUGCCAAAUGAUGGGCUGAGAGCUUUACCAAAGCAGGUCAGAAUGGACCCCAGUCUUUAGUAUGUUACUACCGAGGUGAUAAAUGCUUUUUUUUCUUUCAAUAUCCAUUAGAGACAGAAUCAAAAGUAAUUCUGACUGCAAUAUACCUUGAACCAGAAUAGCUUUAGAGCUCUGUUAAUUCUCCAAUCAAAAUAUAGUCCUCGGGGAAUUUCACAUUUUGCAGAAUGUUGUGUCAUUCUAUAGAACAACUCAUUGGUGGAGUUCCUGUUGUGGCUCAACAGGUUACGAACUCAGGCUAGUUUCCAUGAGGCUUUGGGUUCGAUCCCCGGCCUCGCUCAGUGGGUUAAGGAUCUGGCGUUGCCAUGAGCUGUGGCAUGUGUGGCAGAUGCAACUGGGAUCUGGGGUUGCUGUGGCUGAGUGGUAUAGACCUCAGCUGCAGCUCUGAUUCAACCCCUAGCCCAGGAAAUUCCAUAUGCCACAGGUGCAGCCUUAAAAAAGAAAAAAGAAAAAAAAAAAAAAAAAAAAGAAAAAAAACAACACAUUUUUCCUUUAUUUUGAUGAUGUCAUACUAACUGUCCUGGGGAGCAGGAAGUGGCCACUACUUUACAUACUUUGAUAAGAGGAUACACGCAUGUUGGAAGAUGAGACACAAACCCCACAGAUAUUUAGGGGCUCACAAAUCAGUGGCAUUUCUAGAGCUU
This 4524-nucleotide long non-coding RNA is filed under the name Sus scrofa (pig). Its description in RNAcentral is "lncRNA (ENSSSCG00015065939.1)". The record is from RNAcentral. Lineage: Eukaryota; Metazoa; Chordata; Mammalia; Artiodactyla; Suidae.